Non-coding RNA from Picea glauca (white spruce), 83 nucleotides. The record is from Rfam. Lineage: Eukaryota; Viridiplantae; Streptophyta; Pinopsida; Pinales; Pinaceae.
UGGCAAUGAUUAAAAUUAUCCGCGCUUCUGAUGCUUCGUGCAGUGAAGUAAAAAUGGAUGGUUGAAUUUCUUGAUAUGAGCCA